GAUGAACGCUGGCGGCGUGCUUAACACAUGCAAGUCGAACGAACCUUCGGGUUAGUGGCGGACGGGUGAGUAACGCGUGAGAAUCUGCCCUCAGGAGGGGGAUAACGGCUGGAAACGGCCGCUAAUACCCCAUAUGCCGAGAGGUGAAAUGAAUUUCGCCUGGGGAUGAGCUCGCGUCUGAUUAGCUAGUUGGUGGGGUAAAGGCCUACCAAGGCGACGAUCAGUAGCUGGUCUGAGAGGAUGAUCAGCCACACUGGGACUGAGACACGGCCCAGACUCCUACGGGAGGCAGCAGUGGGGAAUUUUCCGCAAUGGGCGAAAGCCUGACGGAGCAACGCCGCGUGAGGGAUGAAGGCCUCUGGGCUGUAAACCUCUUUUAUCAAGGAAGAAGAUCUGACGGUACUUGAUGAAUAAGCCACGGCUAAUUCCGUG
Molecule: ribosomal RNA, 432 nt
Filed under: uncultured bacterium
Lineage: Bacteria
Description: bacterial SSU rRNA
Rfam family: Bacterial small subunit ribosomal RNA
Source: RNAcentral